This 67-nucleotide ribosomal RNA is filed under the name uncultured bacterium. Its description in RNAcentral is "partial 16S ribosomal RNA". The record is from RNAcentral.
CCGUAACCCGUACCUAAAGGGGGGACGGGCCGGACCUACGGUCGAAGGAGUUCGAGUGACUGGGGUG